GAUGAACGCUGGCGGCGUGCUUAACACAUGCAAGUCGAACGAAGCACUUUAUUUGAUUUCCUUCGGGACUGAUUAUUUUGUGACUGAGUGGCGGACGGGUGAGUAACGCGUGGGUAACCUGCCUUGUACAGGGGGAUAACAGUUGGAAACGGCUGCUAAUACCGCAUAAGCGCACGGCAUCGCAUGAUGCAGUGUGAAAAACUCCGGUGGUAUAAGAUGGACCCGCGUUGGAUUAGCUAGUUGGGGAGGUCACGGCCCACCAAGGCGACGAUCCAUAGCCGAGAUGGGAGGGUGACCGGCCACAUUGGGACUGGGACACGGACCGAACUCCUACGGAAGGCAGCAGUGGGGAAUAUUGCACAAUGGGCGAAAGCCUGAUGCAGCGACGCCGCGUGAGCGAAGAAGUAUUGCAGUAUGUAAAGCUCUAUCAGCAGGGAAGAUAAUGACGGUACCUGACUAAGAAGCACCGGCUAAAUACGUG
Molecule: ribosomal RNA, 481 nt
Filed under: uncultured bacterium
Lineage: Bacteria
Description: partial 16S ribosomal RNA
Rfam family: Bacterial small subunit ribosomal RNA
Source: RNAcentral